UGUCACGUCUACUCCUCUCCUCCGGCGCCCGACAUCGCCGGAAUACUAACCUCCAGUCCUGGGAGUCAUUAUUAUGCAGACCUGGCAUCCUUCAUUACACGCACCUGCAGAUCCUCAUGAUUCACACCUGGACUCCAUUACCUUCCUCAUUACCUCCCCUUUAUACAUCCCUCCCUUAUGUUCAUUCCUCAGUAGGUAUUGUUUCCUGCUUUCAUGCUGUCUCGCCACUGUUACGCUGUCUUGUUUCAUGUUUGUUGUUUAAUUAAAAGUUUCACCUGCACCUGCUUCUUGACUCAAGGCAUCAUCGUUACAAGGAUGAUGUGGGUUUGGUUACAGGAAGCAUUGAUUAUGUGAAGAAUCGGUAGGCAACGACCAAGAACCUCAAUGUGGUAAAAUGGGAAACAGGGGGAUGGCGCGUUCGACUUAACAAUAACAGUGACUGUUUUUGUUCUGUUGAUGAAUUCAUUUUUUCUUCUUUCCAUUAUUUGAGAAAACAGAUGGAGAGCAUGAAAGAACCGCAUGCUGUUUGAAAUAACAAGGGAGAGUAAUAUAUGGUGUCAGCGUCUGUCUCUACCUUAACGCUGUGUUCUGCUGAGAUGUGAGAGGUCGAGUUGACCCCACCAUGAAGAGGCCCAUGAGGAGGAACACCAGGUGGAGUCCUACUACACACAUCCCUGUGGAUAUUCCGGGUCAGGGAAUGGCAGCAUGGAGACACAAAGUAAGCAUGAAAGAACCUGCUUGGAUUGACAUGAAG
RNAcentral lists this long non-coding RNA (754 nucleotides) under Salmo salar (Atlantic salmon). Its description in RNAcentral is "lncRNA (ENSSSAG00000098074.1, ENSSSAG00075050935.1)". The record is from RNAcentral. Lineage: Eukaryota; Metazoa; Chordata; Actinopteri; Salmoniformes; Salmonidae.